Molecule: small nuclear RNA, 70 nt
Filed under: Chlorocebus sabaeus (green monkey)
Lineage: Eukaryota; Metazoa; Chordata; Mammalia; Primates; Cercopithecidae
Source: RNAcentral
GUGCUUGCUUCGGCAGUAAAUAUACUAAAAUUGUAAUGAUACAGAGAAGGUUAAUAUGGCCCCUGUAUAA